Molecule: ribosomal RNA, 385 nt
Filed under: Anguispira kochi
Lineage: Eukaryota; Metazoa; Mollusca; Gastropoda; Stylommatophora; Discidae
Description: partial large subunit ribosomal RNA
Rfam family: Bacterial large subunit ribosomal RNA
Source: RNAcentral
CAUAGCUUAAUGAGUGUAUUAAGUUUCUUCUGCUCAAUGAGUUAAAUAGCCGCAGUAAUCUGACUGUGCUAAGGUAGCAUAAUAAAUUGUCCAUUAAUUGUGGUCUAGUAUGAAAGGAAAAUAUGUAAUCUGUCUUUACUACUGUUAUAUAACUUACUUAUUAGGUGCAAAUUCCUAUUUUUUUUGAAAGACGAGAAGACCCUUAGAAUUUUUAUAAUUUUUGUUGGGGCGACACGUUAUCAAAUAACAUAACGGAAAAUUUUACAAGUCCAGUGAGAUAUAAUUACCUGAGGGAUAACAGCAUAAUUUUAAGAUUAUGACCUCGAUGUUGGAUUAGGAUAUACAGGCAAGCAGUCUGUCUUGUUCUGUUCGAACCCUACGUGAU